AUUGAACGCUGGCGGCAUGCCUUACACAUGCAAGUCGAACGGCAGCGGGGGAGAAGCUUGCUUUUCCUGCCGGCGAGUGGCGAACGGGUGAGUAAUACAUCGGAACGUGCCCUGUAGUGGGGGAUAACUAGUCGAAAGAUUAGCUAAUACCGCAUACGACCUGAGGGUGAAAGUGGGGACCGCAAGGCCUCAUGCUAUAGGAGCGGCCGAUGUCUGAUUAGCUAGUUGGUGGGGUAAAGGCCUACCAAGGCGACGAUCAGUAGCUGGUCUGAGAGGACGAUCAGCCAGACUGGGACUGAGAAACGGCCCAGACUCCUACGGGAGGCAGCAGUGGGAAAUUUUGGACAAUGGGCGAAAGCCUGAUCCAGCAAUGCCGCGUGUGUGAAGAAGGCCUUCGGGUUGUAAAGCACUUUUGUCCGGAAAGAAAUGGCUCUGGUUAAUACCUGGGGUCGAUGACGGUACCGGAAGAAUAAGGACCGGCUAACUACGUGCCAGCAGCCGCCGUAA
RNAcentral lists this ribosomal RNA (507 nucleotides) under uncultured bacterium. RNAcentral's name for it is "partial 16S ribosomal RNA". It matches the Rfam family "Bacterial small subunit ribosomal RNA", at positions 30 to 523 of the family's 1533-position model. The record is from RNAcentral.